GACGAACGCUGGCGGCGUGCUUAACACAUGCGAGUCGAACGGAAAGGCCCUGCUUUUGUGGGGUGCUCGAGUGGCGAACGGGUGAGUAACACGUGAGUAACCUGCCCUUGACUUUGGGAUAACUUCAGGAAACUGGGGCUAAUACCGGAUAGGAGCUCCUGCUGCAUGGUGGGGGUUGGAAAGUUUCGGCGGUUGGGGAUGGACUCGCGGCUUAUCAGCUUGUUGGUGGGGUAGUGGCUUACCAAGGCUUUGACGGGUAGCCGGCCUGAGAGGGUGACCGGCCACAUUGGGACUGAGAUACGGCCCAGACGCCUACGGGAGACAGCAGUGGGGACUUUUGCACAAUGGGCGGAAGCCUGAUGCAGCAACGCCGCGUGCGGUAUGACGGCCUUCGGGUUGUAAACCGCUUUCGCCUGUGACGAAGCGUGAGUGACGGUAAUGGGUAAAGAAGCACCGGCUAACUACGUG
RNAcentral lists this ribosomal RNA (468 nucleotides) under uncultured bacterium. RNAcentral describes it as "partial 16S ribosomal RNA". It matches the Rfam family "Bacterial small subunit ribosomal RNA", at positions 28 to 507 of the family's 1533-position model. The record is from RNAcentral.